CGUAGACUCCUACGGGAGGCAGCAGUGGGGAAUAUUGCACAAUGGGGGAAACCCUGAUGCAGCCAUGCCGCGUGUGUGAAGAAGGCCUUCGGGUGUAAAGCACUUUCAGUAGGGAGGAAGGUAGUGUAGUUAACACCUGCACUAUUUGACGUUACCUACAGAAGAAGCACCGGCUAACUCCGUGCCAGCAGCCGCGGUAAUACGGAGGGUGCGAGCGUUAAUCGGAAUUACUGGGCGUAAAGCGCAUGCAGGCGGCCUGUUAAGUCAGAUGUGAAAGCCCCGGGGCUUAACCUCGGAAUUGCAUUUGAAACUGGCAGGCUAGAGUCUUGUAGAGGGGGUAGAAUUUCAGGUGUAGCGGUGAAAUGCGUAGAGAUCUGAAGGAAUACCAGUGGCGAAGGCGGCCCCCUGGACAAAGACUGACGCUCAGAUGCGAAAGCGUGGGGAGCAAACAGGAUUAGAUACCCUGGUAG
Molecule: ribosomal RNA, 470 nt
Filed under: uncultured bacterium
Lineage: Bacteria
Description: bacterial SSU rRNA
Rfam family: Bacterial small subunit ribosomal RNA
Source: RNAcentral